Molecule: ribosomal RNA, 487 nt
Filed under: uncultured bacterium
Lineage: Bacteria
Description: partial 16S ribosomal RNA
Rfam family: Bacterial small subunit ribosomal RNA
Source: RNAcentral
ACUCAAAUGAAUUGACGGGGACCUGCACAAGCGGUGGAGCAUGUGGUUUAAUUCGACACAAAGCGAAAAACCUUACCAGGGUUUGAAAUGCUAGCUGCACACUUCUAGAGAUAGAAGUUUUCUUCGAGAGUGCUAGCACAGGUGCUGCAUGGCUGUCGUCAGCUUGUACCGUGAGGCGCACCCUUAAGUGGGUUAACAAGCGCAACCCCCAUUCUAUGUUAAAUUUUUUCAUAGAAAACUGCCCGCCAAAAGCGGGAGGAAGGCGGGGAUGACGUCAAGUCAGCACGGCCCUUAUGUCCUGGGCUACACACAUCCUACAAUGGGUACUAACAGAGAGCUGCUACUUGGCAACAGGAAGCAAAUCUUCAAACGUAUCCUCAGUUCGGAUUGAGGACUGAAACCUGUCCUCAUGAAGCUGAAAUCGCUAGUAAUCGCGGAUCAGCAGGCCGCGGUGAAUACGUUCUCAGGUCUUGUACACACCGCCCGU